RNAcentral lists this ribosomal RNA (119 nucleotides) under Pteropus alecto (black flying fox). The record is from RNAcentral. Lineage: Eukaryota; Metazoa; Chordata; Mammalia; Chiroptera; Pteropodidae.
GUCUAUGGCCAUGCCACCCUGAACACGCCCGAUCCCGUCUGAUCUCGGAAGCUAAGCAGGGUAGGGCCUGGUUAGUACUUGGAUGAGAGACCACCUAGGAAAAUCGGGGGCUGUAGGCG